This 457-nucleotide ribosomal RNA is filed under the name uncultured bacterium. Its description in RNAcentral is "bacterial SSU rRNA". It matches the Rfam family "Bacterial small subunit ribosomal RNA", at positions 340 to 786 of the family's 1533-position model. The record is from RNAcentral.
UACGGAAGGCAGCAGUGGGGAAUAUUGCACAAUGGGCGCAAGCCUGAUGCAGCCAUGCCGCGUGUAUGAAGAAGGCCUUCGGGUUGUAAAGUACUUUCAGUCGUGAGGAAGGUGUUAAGGUUAAUAACCUUAGCAAUUGACGUUAGCGACAGAAGAAGCACCGGCUAACUCCGUGCCAGCAGCCGCGGUAAUACGGAGGGUGCGAGCGUUAAUCGGAAUUACUGGGCGUAAAGGGCACGCAGGCGGUUAAUUAAGUUGGAUGUGAAAUCCCCGGGCUUAACCUGGGAAUGGCAUUCAAGACUGGUUAGCUAGAGUCUUGUAGAGGGGGUAGAAUUCCAUGUGUAGCGGUGAAAUGCGUAGAGAUGUGGAGGAAUACCGGUGGCGAAAGGCGGCCCCUGGACAAAAGACUGACGCUCAUGUGCGAAAAGCGUGGGGAGCAAAACAGGGAUUAGAUACC